Molecule: ribosomal RNA, 506 nt
Filed under: uncultured bacterium
Lineage: Bacteria
Description: partial 16S ribosomal RNA
Rfam family: Bacterial small subunit ribosomal RNA
Source: RNAcentral
AGUGAACGCUGGCGGUAGGCCUAACACAUGCAAGUCGAACGGCAGCACAGGAGAGCUUGCUCUCUGGGUGGCGAGUGGCGGACGGGUGAGGAAUACAUCGGAAUCUACUCUGUCGUGGGGGAUAACGUAGGGAAAUUUACGCUAAUACCGCAUACGACCUACGGGUGAAAGCAGGGGACCUUCGGGCCUUGCGCGAUUGAAUGAGCCGAUGCCGGAUUAGCUAGUUGGCGGGGUAAAGGCCCACCAAGGCGACGAUCCGUAGCUGGUCUGAGAGGAUGAUCAGCCACACUGGAACUGGGACACGGUCCAGCCUCCUCCGGGAGGCAGCAGUGGGGAAUAUUGGACAAUGGGCGCAAGCCUGAUCCAGCCAUACCGCGUGGGUGAAGAAGGCCUUCGGGUUGUAAAGCCCUUUUGUUGGGAAAGAAAUCCAGCUGGCUAAUACCCGGUUGGGAUGACGGUACCCAAAGAAUAAGCAUCGGCUAACUUCGUGCCAGCCGCCGCCGUAA